This is a long non-coding RNA of Amphibalanus amphitrite, 330 nucleotides long. RefSeq lists it as uncharacterized. The record is from RefSeq and is a predicted model, not a curated record. NCBI's taxonomy places the organism in Eukaryota, Metazoa, Arthropoda, Thecostraca, Balanomorpha, Balanidae. The transcript is spliced from 3 exons.
CAUUUUCAAAUUUAAUGAAUUUUCUUGUUGGAUUUGUUUUUGAUAGGCCACGGAACAGGAAACGGAUUUUGAAAUGUAUUUUUAUUGCUUGUUUCUGGCGGUGGUUCUGGAGACAGCGUGUCGAUCCAGCUGUAGAACGUCAUCCGGAGGUGGCAGAGUGUGAUGGCCAGCCACGCGGCGCGCGUAUCGACAUUGACCAGAAACUAUCACAUCAUCUCCAGGUCACUGGUCGAGGGCGCUCGAGCUGACGGUGUCUUCCGACGGCUCCACGGUGACCAGCGCCGCCACCGCCGAGACCAUCCGACUCCUGAAAUGCUAACGGCCUUGCAC